CCCAGCUCUGUCCUUGCUCCUAGAGAUGAGGGUCGUGUCCUGUCCACGACGACCACUCACACACAUGAGGCUGCAGACGCAAUACGCAGCUCUGUGGGCCUCAGCCAGUGUCUCUCCAGCUGCCCACCUUCGCGGUGAAUGAUUGAGUUCUGAGGAGGAGGGUCCUGAACAUGAAGUCUUUGCACCAGUCUCAAGGUCAGGAGGCAAAGAUACCCAGCCGUGUUCACAUCGUGGCACAUGCUUCAUAUCAGUGGUGAAUUUCUGCCAGAUCCUCCCCCAUCUCUAGAGAGCAAUCUGGCCAGAGCGUUGGCGUUAACUGGAGAAUAAAUCACUGAUGCUAGGGGAGGGGGCACUGGCCAGUCCAGCAGUGCCAGCGCCACCCUCUGAGUACCCAGGUCUGUGGCAUGCCAGCCACUCGCAGCCCCUGAAUCCCCUCACACGUGGCGUCACCUAGGAAGUGAAGGGGUGUGUGAAGUAAAGGAGAGGCUAGAGAAUAGAAAAAGAAGACUUCCAAAGAGGAACCAGAGGAAACAGGCUGAGCCCCUCACAUCCCCUCCACACAGUGUCUGCUGCCCAUGGACAGCCCUUCCCUACAAACGCCCUGGCUUGGCCUCCCUGCUCAUCAGUCUCUUCCAAGAGGCCAACUUUGGACGGGUUUCUGGAGCCCAGAAGUCUGAUGGUGGUUUUCCAC
Molecule: long non-coding RNA, 691 nt
Filed under: Heterocephalus glaber (naked mole-rat)
Lineage: Eukaryota; Metazoa; Chordata; Mammalia; Rodentia; Bathyergidae
Description: lncRNA (ENSHGLG00100037715.1)
Source: RNAcentral